Molecule: ribosomal RNA, 264 nt
Filed under: Clostridioides difficile
Lineage: Bacteria; Bacillati; Bacillota; Clostridia; Peptostreptococcales; Peptostreptococcaceae
Description: partial 23S ribosomal RNA
Rfam family: Bacterial large subunit ribosomal RNA
Source: RNAcentral
CCCAACAGGUCCAACGGGUCCAACAGGUCCAGGUGUAGGGGCAACAGGCCCAACAGGACCAACCGGUCCGACUGGCCCAACAGGAAAUACUGGGAAUACAGGAGCAACAGGAUUAAGAGGUCCAACAGGAGCAACAGGGGCAACAGCCCAGAUCGUCAGCUAAGGUCCCUAAAUGUAAGUUAAGUGGUAAAGGAUGUGGGAUUGCACAGACAACCAGGAUGUUGGCUUAGAAGCAGCCACUCAUUCAAAGAGUGCGUAAUAGCU